Molecule: ribosomal RNA, 482 nt
Filed under: uncultured bacterium
Lineage: Bacteria
Description: partial 16S ribosomal RNA
Rfam family: Bacterial small subunit ribosomal RNA
Source: RNAcentral
AUUGAACGCUGGCGGCAUGCUUUACACAUGCAAGUCGAACGGUAACAGGCCGCAAGGUGCUGACGAGUGGCGAACGGGUGAGUAAUGCAUCGGAACGUGCACAGUCGUGGGGGAUAACUACUCGAAAGAGUAGCUAAUACCGCAUACGAUCUAUGGAUGAAAGCGGGGGACCGUAAGGCCUCGCGCGAUUGGAGCGGCCGAUGUCAGAUUAGGUAGUUGGUGGGGUAAAGGCUCACCAAGCCAACGAUCUGUAGCUGGUCUGAGAGGACGACCAGCCACACUGGGACUGAGACACGGCCCAGCCUCCUACGGGAGGCAGCAGUGGGGAAUUUUGGACAAUGGGCGCAAGCCUGAUCCAGCAAUGCCGCGUGCAGGAAGAAGGCCUUCGGGUUGUAAACUGCUUUUGUACGGAACGAAACGGCUCUGGUUAAUACCCGGGGCUAAUGACGGUACCGUAAGAAUAAGCACCGGCUAACUACGUG